This is a long non-coding RNA of Sebastes umbrosus (honeycomb rockfish), 679 nucleotides long. RefSeq lists it as uncharacterized. The transcript is spliced from 4 exons. The record is from RefSeq and is a predicted model, not a curated record. Lineage: Eukaryota; Metazoa; Chordata; Actinopteri; Perciformes; Sebastidae.
AACUAUCGCUGGAUUACUGAUUCUCAGACAAGUUUUGGAGUUAUGAGAAGGUUUUUUUCCCUCUAUUUUAUGGAUUUAGGGACAUCUAUCUGCAAUGGACAUUGGAGACAACGAUAACCUCGAGAAAUUGACUUCUACGUAACAGUGGAGGAUACAGCCGUGCAACGGACACAGACACUUAGAAGUCAAAUCUUGUCAUUAAAAGGAACUGACAGAGUUUUGUCCAAUUCAAUGUUGCUGAAGAAUGAAACAUCCAAACGCAGUCUUAUCAGGUGCACACCUGUUAUAAUGGAUGGUUGGCUAAAAUUAGACUGCAGCACCUCAAGAAGCAGCAGAGGUGAGAACGAGAGAGGAAUAAGAGGGCAGUCGACCCUGUCCUUGCAGCAUAAGAGUGCCAGUGCUCCUUUCAGAUUGAGCAAGCAGUUGGACUGAGUUACCUCAGCGGUUGAGGAUGAACCCAGUUUGGUUUCUGGCUGCCCAUACACUGCUUCUAAUACUACUCUGCUGGAUUUGGCUUCACCAUCUGAGUACGACCGUAUGUCGAUGCUGUUCCUUAAUGAAAACACCAAUGAGCGUCCUGAAGAGGGACCAGAGGGAGGCAGAAUGUACUGUAGUACUACUGAAUCAGGUUGGUCUCUGGCUAAUAAAAAAAAGACAUGUGUCCGAGCCAGGCCAAAAA